RNAcentral lists this long non-coding RNA (278 nucleotides) under Elaeis guineensis (African oil palm). RNAcentral's name for it is "long non-coding RNA (EGUI_LNC024186)". The record is from RNAcentral. Lineage: Eukaryota; Viridiplantae; Streptophyta; Magnoliopsida; Arecales; Arecaceae.
UGUUCGAUCCGCCAUAAACAAGUUUGGAUUUAGGUUAAAUAGAUUCGGAUUAUAAAUGGGUCGACCCGUUUAACCCGCUUAAUAAUUGGAUCAGAUAUGGGUUUUAGAUAUCUAACCCAUUUAAUAUUUAAGUUUGGUUGAGUCAAAUAACCUAUUUAACCUGUUUAAUUUAUUUCUGACCCAUUUAACUAUUUAAUCUGUUUAAUCUGUUUAACCCAUUUAAGAUCUGUUUAACCUAUUUAACCUAUUUAAGAUCCGUUUAACCUGUUUCUGACCCA